This is a non-coding RNA of Oryza glumipatula, 191 nucleotides long. NCBI's taxonomy places the organism in Eukaryota, Viridiplantae, Streptophyta, Magnoliopsida, Poales, Poaceae. The record is from Rfam.
AAUAAGCGCAGGUUUACACUAUUCUACAACGUUUGAUUAUUUGUCUUAUUUAAAAAAAUAUUAGUAGUAUUUUUAUUGUUAUUAUAUAAUAAAACAUAAAUAGUAUUUUAUGUAUGACUAUUUUUUUUAUAUUUUUUCAGAUAAGACGGACGGUUAAACGUUGGACAUGGAUAGUGAUAGCUGCACUUAUA